UACGUAGGGUGCAAGCGUUGUCCGGAAUUAUUGGGCGUAAAGAGCUCGUAGGCGGUCUGUCGCGUCGAAUGUGAAAACCCGGGGCUCAACCCCGGGCCUGCAUUCGAUACGGGUAGACUAGAGUUCGGUAGGGGAGACUGGAAUUCCUGGUGUAGCGGUGAAAUGCGCAGAUAUCAGGAGGAACACCGGUGGCGAAGGCGGUUCUCUGGGCAUUACCUGACGCUGAGGAGCGAAAGUGUGGGGAGCGAACAGG
RNAcentral lists this ribosomal RNA (253 nucleotides) under uncultured bacterium. RNAcentral's name for it is "partial 16S ribosomal RNA". It matches the Rfam family "Bacterial small subunit ribosomal RNA", at positions 524 to 776 of the family's 1533-position model. The record is from RNAcentral.